UGGGGAAUUUUGGACAAUGGGGGAAACCCUGAUCCAGCCAUCCCGCGUGUGCGAUGAAGGCCUUCGGGUUGUAAAGCACUUUUGGCAGGAAAGAAACGUCAUGGGUUAAUACCCCGUGAAACUGACGGUACCUGCAGAAUAAGCACCGGCUAACUACGUGCCAGCAGUCGCGGUAAUACGUAGGGUGCAAGCGUUAAUCGGAAUUACUGGGCGUAAAGCGUGCGCAGGCGGUUCGGAAAGAAAGAUGUGAAAUCCCAGAGCUCAACUUUGGAACUGCAUUUUUAACUACCGGGCUAGAGUGUGUCAGAGGGAGGUGGAAUUCCGCGUGUAGCAGUGAAAUGCGUAGAUAUGCGGAGGAACACCGAUGGCGAAGGCAGCCUCCUGGGAUAACACUGACGCUCAUGCACGAAAGCGUGGGGAGCAAACAGG
RNAcentral lists this ribosomal RNA (429 nucleotides) under Acidobacteriota bacterium. RNAcentral describes it as "Acidobacteria bacterium partial 16S ribosomal RNA". It matches the Rfam family "Bacterial small subunit ribosomal RNA", at positions 355 to 776 of the family's 1533-position model. The record is from RNAcentral. Lineage: Bacteria; Pseudomonadati; Acidobacteriota.